UGUCAGGGCUGGACACCACCUUGUCAGGCUGUCUAUAGUCGCUUAGCAAGACAGAGGCUGGGCCCAAACCAGGGACCAGCUCCUGCCCGCUACAGUCGCCCCGAGCCCUUGGCCAGACGACGCAAAGGGUGAGUUUCCUGAGGACAGCCACUGAACCACCCCACUGACUGCCCAGCACAGAGCAGGCACAGCACAGCGCUCCAGAACAGCUCUGAUUGGGUGACUCCCCACCCUGGUGAAGCAAUUAAGGACAUUUCCAAGUGCUGUGUGGCUGCUUCAGGCAAGCAGCCUCAGCUGACCAGGCUCUGACGGGGAAGGCCAGCAGAGGAGGGGGCUGGU
This is a long non-coding RNA of Chinchilla lanigera (long-tailed chinchilla), 339 nucleotides long. RefSeq lists it as uncharacterized. NCBI's taxonomy places the organism in Eukaryota, Metazoa, Chordata, Mammalia, Rodentia, Chinchillidae. The record is from RefSeq and is a predicted model, not a curated record. The transcript is spliced from 3 exons.